This 465-nucleotide ribosomal RNA is filed under the name Vreelandella stevensii. RNAcentral describes it as "partial 16S ribosomal RNA". It matches the Rfam family "Bacterial small subunit ribosomal RNA", at positions 338 to 795 of the family's 1533-position model. The record is from RNAcentral. Lineage: Bacteria; Pseudomonadati; Pseudomonadota; Gammaproteobacteria; Oceanospirillales; Halomonadaceae.
CCUACGGGGGGCUGCAGUGGGGAAUAUUGGACAAUGGGGGGAACCCUGAUCCAGCCAUGCCGCGUGUGUGAAGAAGGCCCUCGGGUUGUAAAGCACUUUCAGUGAGGAAGAACGCCUGGUGGUUAAUACCCAUCAGGAAAGACAUCACUCACAGAAGAAGCACCGGCUAACUCCGUGCCAGCAGCCGCGGUAAUACGGAGGGUGCGAGCGUUAAUCGGAAUUACUGGGCGUAAAGCGCGCGUAGGUGGCUUGAUAAGGCGGUUGUGAAAGCCCCGGGCUCAACCUGGGAACGGCAUCCGGAACUGUCAAGCUAGAGUGCAGGAGAGGAAGGUAGAAUUCCCGGUGUAGCGGUGAAAUGCGUAGAGAUCGGGAGGAAUACCAGUGGCGAAGGCGGCCUUCUGGACUGACACUGACACUGAGGUGCGAAAGCGUGGGUAGCAAACAGGAUUAGAUACCCCUGUAGUC